GUGGACGCUAGUCUCAUAGAUUUAGCCAUGCAUGUGACGUGAACCAGUGAUUUAUCAUGGGGGAACGGCGAACGGCUCAGUAACGGGCGAUGAUUUGUUCUAUGAGUAUGGACAACCUCAGGAAACGGAGGGGAAUACAUAGUGGAUUGUAAUUGUAAAGAUUACGAUAGAAGGCGUGAGCCCUCAUAGAGUAAGAAGCCAGCCCAUCAGCUAGUAAGUAGGGUAAGGGCCUACUUAGGCGUAGACGGGUACGGGGAAUAGGGGUUUGAUUCCGGAGAGGGAGCCUGAGAGACGGCUACCAUGUCCAAGGACGGCAGCAGGCGCGAAAAUUACCGAAGCCCGCAUGGGGCGGUAGUGAUGAGAUGUAUUAGUAAGAUGGAGAUAAAUGUUCCAUGUUGAACUGGAGGGAAAGUCUG
This 416-nucleotide ribosomal RNA is filed under the name uncultured Microsporidia. RNAcentral describes it as "SSU rRNA". It matches the Rfam family "Microsporidia small subunit ribosomal RNA", at positions 23 to 389 of the family's 1311-position model. The record is from RNAcentral. Lineage: Eukaryota; Fungi; Microsporidia.